Balaenoptera ricei (Rice's whale) is the source of this 2410-nucleotide long non-coding RNA. RefSeq lists it as uncharacterized. The transcript is spliced from 2 exons. The record is from RefSeq and is a predicted model, not a curated record. Lineage: Eukaryota; Metazoa; Chordata; Mammalia; Artiodactyla; Balaenopteridae.
UCCCUCUAGCUCGAACACUGGGCUCCGCCUCGGCUAUGUAGUCCUCCCAACCUGGGGUGCCCCCCCCCUCCGGCAGCCCGCCUGCCCGGGACCUCCCCACGCGCCCCAGCCCGUUUCCAUGGCAACGCCACGCGGCCCCGCACGUCCGGCACCUUCCCGCCGCAGCCCCGGGGUGCUCUCCGCGCGGGAAGGGCUGGCCGAGGCGGCGCCAGCGGCCUCUGCGGCCCUGCAGCCGCCCUCGCGCUCCUGCCGGGGUCUCCCCCAGAGCCGCGCGCUAGCGGGGGGGCCUGGAGAGGACUUGACAACCGACCUCCAUGGGGCUGGCCGCCGCGGUGCCUGAUCGCAGCGGCUGCGGCCGCACCGCAAAACAUCGCGGCCGGCUCACUUCAGUGCUCCCUGGGGAACCUUUCUACGGCUGGAGGCCCGGCCCAGCUCUGGAGACCCCGCGAGUCUCGGGCUAGCCCGUCGCCCGGCAAGGAGCGGGGUGGGGGGCCCUCCCGGCGACCUGAGGGCAGCUCAGGACACGUCAGUCUUCCCUCUUCCGCCUUCACCCGAGGGGACCUCAGCCCGGCGGAAAGCUCUUUUCCUGGAGCUUGGAGUGGGCCACUCCCCCCAGGCCGAGGCCGCUCCGAAGCUCCCAGGUUUUUCCAGGGCGGGUUGCGGUUGAGACCUGGCUACGAGGACACAAACGCCCUUUUUGGAUAAGCGUUGCCGCGGGUCCGGCCGCCUAUCCCCGGGAAGGUUUGGGUUGGGCGCCCGAGAGCAGUGCCCGCUGCUCGCGCCCAGUGACUGCCCGGGACCCGGAGCCCGGCCGGCGGCUGCGCCCACACCUAGGGGACGCCCGAAGCGUUUGCCGGCUGAACCAAUGGGACUCGCCACCGACUGCUGAGGCCGAGCCCCGAGAGGCGGUUCAAGGUCCUCAACCCGGGCGGGGGUGAGGCUUUGGGCGUCGCUGUGGAAGGACAGCAGAGGACACAGCCCAUACAAGGGUCCUAGAAUCGGAUCUCACCUCACUGCUGCUCUGCCAUCCGUCCUGAAUGGCCUCUCGCCAAAAACCAAAUGCCGUAAAUAAAAAUCUUACCAAGGCUGUACUGGAGGCCUCCCUGACCGUAUAGCGACGGUCCCGUGUCCGACGAUAGGCAAGCCUGGGCCAGGUUUGGUGCAGAGGCACGCAAAGAGAUCGGGUAUUUGCUCUUUUACCCCGUGAACUGGGCAGCCUGACGCUUGUUGUUGUUUUUUGUUUGUUUUUUUAAUGUUAUUUACUUAUUUUUACUUUUGGGUGUGUUGGGUCUUCGUUUCUGUGUGAGGGCUUUCUCUAGUUGCGGCGAGCGGGGGCCUCUGACUGUCGCGGCCUCUCUUGUUGCGGAGCACAGGCUCCAGACGCGCAGGCUCAGUAGUUAUGGCACAUGGGCCUAGUUGCUCCGCGGCAUGUGGGAUCUUCCCAGACCGGGGCUCGAACCCAUGUCCCCUGCAUUGGCAAGCAGAUUCUCAACCACUGCGCCACCAGGGAAGCCCAGCCGCCCACCCCCCGCCCGCCCCCGACGCUUGUUGUUAAUUGCAGAUUAUUCUGGAAAAGUUUAUCCUGUCAAGGGAUCUGCCAUUAGGGAAAUUCCUCUGGAGAUCAGAGCCAGGGGCCGUGACUUCGUUUUGGCCACCUGGGAGCAACUUAAGGUUUCCUUUCCUCGAGUAAAGAAAGUGGAAAAUCUCAAGCGGUUUCUGGCUUGGAAAGCCCUUCAUUUACUCACUUCUGCUCUCUCUGACCCAGCCCUCCUCCCCGCAGGAGGAGGUGAGGUUCCAGGAAGUAGGGGGUUGAGUUUUUUAGAGAAUCAAUGAAUUUUGUAAUCAGAAAAGUAACUUAGAGUGGUUUUGGAAUAAUCUUUUAAGUGACAACCCCCUGGUCUCUAAACCUGGGCCUCCUUCACAAUUAACAGCCGCCCCCCAUAAGAUCAGUGCCACCAAGCCUCCUCUGCUUUUCUCUUGAAUAUCUUCCAAAUUGCCCUCCAUGCUGCCUUGGUUCAGGCCCCAUCCCCUCACCUAAAUUACCAUGACAGCCACCUUGCUAGUCUCUUGGUCAUCUCUCCCCUUGGAUCCAUUUUCCAUACCGCUGCUGCAAGGAUUUUUUCUUUUUUUAGUCUUAAAGAUGUCCUAUUUCCUGCAACAGUGGUUCUUUUUUUAAAAAAAAUUUUAAUACAAUUUUUAAAGGUAACUUUCCAUUUACAGUUAUUACAAAAUAUUGGCUAUAUUCCCCGUGUUGUGCAAUACAUCCUUGAGCCCAUCUUACUCCCAAUAGUUUGUACCUCCCACUCCUCCACCCCUAUAUUGCCCCCUCCCCCUUCUCACUGGUAACCACUAGUUUGUUCCCUAUAUCUGUGAGUGUGUUUCUUUUCAUUAAAUUCACUAGUUUGCAACA